CCGUCCGCCCUUCGAAAUGGCUUCGGGGCCUUCGGCUCCCGCCGGUUAGGCUGACGUGGUGCGCGGUCUGCCCCCGGGGCGGGCGGCGCAUAGCCGACAGCCGUCGCAUCCCAGGGAGCAUCCCCAUG
This 128-nucleotide small RNA is filed under the name Streptomyces sp. DvalAA-14. Its description in RNAcentral is "Streptomyces-metH RNA". It matches the Rfam family "Streptomyces-metH RNA". The record is from Rfam by way of RNAcentral. Lineage: Bacteria; Bacillati; Actinomycetota; Actinomycetes; Kitasatosporales; Streptomycetaceae.